UCCGGUUUGUCACCGGCAGUCUCAUUAGAGUGCUCUUUCGUAGCAACUAAUGACAAGGGUCGCGCUCGUUGCGGGACUUAACCCAACACCUCACGGCACGAGCUGACGGCAGCCAUGCAUCACCUGCACUGGCUCCCCGAAGGGUCCCUUCCCUUUCAGGUCGGUACUACCAGCAUGUCAAGCCUUGGUAAGGUUCUUCGCGUUGCGUCGAAUUAAACCACACGCUCCGCUGCUUGUGCGGGCCCCCGUCAAUUCCUUUGAGUUUUAGCCUUGCGGCCGUACUCCCCAGGCGGGGCACUUAAUGCGUUAGCUUCGGCACGGAGGGAGUCGACACCCCCCACACCUAGUGCCCAUCGUUUACAGCGUGGACUAC
Molecule: unclassified non-coding RNA, 373 nt
Filed under: uncultured bacterium
Lineage: Bacteria
Description: contains 16S-23S intergenic spacer region
Source: RNAcentral